AGCUGGCUGGUCCCAUGAGGUGACUUCUGCCCAGUGCUCUGAUUGUCAAUGCGAAGAGAUUCAGCCACGCGCGGGUAAACGGCGGGAGUAACUAUGACUCUCUUAAGGUAGCCAAAUGCCUCGUCAACCAAUUAUUGACGCGCAUGAAUGGAUCAAUGAGAUUCCUGCUGUCCCUAGUUGCUGUCUGGUGAACCAACAGCCAAGGGAACGGGCUUGGAUGUGUCAGCGGGGAAAGAAGACCCUGUUGAGUUUGACUCUAGUUUGCUGCUGUGCAGUGACAUGAAGGGUGUAGCACAGGUGGGAGGCAAGUGCCACAGAACUGUAUGCCAAAAUGGCUGGGCUGAGAGCUGUGCGUGAAUCAAUCAGCCCCAAACAGAGUUGUUGAUGAAUGGUGCAAGUCAGCAGUGAAAUACCACUACCUUCACAGUCACUUUACUCAUUGAGUUGUCUGGGAACAGUAAGCCAUACAUGAUCAGCCUGUCCCAACCCAGAAGGGGGUGAGCAGUUUCUCUCUUCCCUACUCCCCGGAUGGGUGAAUGGAUGGGCUGUGGCCAAUCACUGGCUUCAUGUGCCAAGUGUGGAGACCACCAGUGGCCUUCCCCUCUGCAGCUGCCCCCUGUGGUGGACUGUGGGUGUGGGGGAGGGCUGAGUGUGGAACUUCCUCCUGCAUGACCCUGGAAAAGUAAGUGCAUUCCAAUCAGAAGCCUCAAGACACAGAUCAGAUUGGGAGUUUGGCUGGGGCGGCACGCCUGUUACAUCACAACGCAGGUGUCCUGAAGCAGUGCUCAGAUGGAACAGAAAUCUCUCGCAGAGGAGUAGGCCAAAGGUGCUGCUGAUGCAGCGACUUUCAGAGUGCAAGUCCAGAACAUGGAAGUGUGGCCUAUCGAUCCUUUGGUCAAGACUCGAGUUUGGGAUAAUCAAGCCAGAGGUGUCAGAAAAAUUACCACAGGGAUAACUGGCUUGUGGCAGCCAAGAGUUCAGAUCGACGUUGCUUUUUGAUCCUUCGAUGUCGGCUCUUCCUAGCUUGCCACCUGCAGCCGAGUGCAAGAGUUGGAUUGUUCACCCA
Molecule: ribosomal RNA, 1066 nt
Filed under: Trachelomonas grandis
Lineage: Eukaryota; Euglenozoa; Euglenophyceae; Euglenales; Euglenaceae
Description: partial large subunit ribosomal RNA
Rfam family: Eukaryotic large subunit ribosomal RNA
Source: RNAcentral